GUUGAAAAGAACUUUGAAGAGAGAGUUCAAAAGUACGUGAAACCGUUCUGGGGUAAACGCGAGAAGUCCGAAAGGUCGAACGGGGAGAUUCACGUCCACCCGGCCGCUGGCCUCCGCUCCCGGCAGAUGGGGCCGGCCGCCCGCUCGGAGCAAUCCGCGGCGGGGUCGUGUCCGGUUGUCUUUCCACUCGCCGAGGGGCGGAGCCGUUCCAGUGUGCGGUGGGCCGCACUUCUCCUCUUGUAGGACGUCGCGACCCGCCGGGUGCCGGCCUAAGGCCCGGGUGCCAGCCUGCCAGGCCGCUGUCUUCGGUCAGCGUUCGUCGGGCAGAGCCCCGGUGCAUCCCCGGCCGGCUGCUCGGCGGUAUGUACACCGUGGAGUCGAUUCGCCAAAUUUGUUUUGGGCGCCCUGGGCCCCCGGCAAGCGCGCGCGGUUCUUCCCGGAUGACGGUCCUACUGGGCCCGGCUCCGGACCCGCGCCGCUGUUGGCUCGGGUGUGUCCUCGGGCGGAAUGAUCGCUCCGGUCAGCGGCGCUUCAGCUUUGGACAAUUUCGCGACCCGUCUUGAAACACGGACCAAGGAGUCUAACAUGUGCGCGAGUCAUUGGGCUCUGACGAAACCUAAAGGCGCAAUGAAAGUGAAGGUCUCGCCUUGCGCGGACCGAGGGGAGAUGGGGCCCAACCGGGCGCGCUCCGGCGCGCCGGCGGCCUCCGCAUUCCCGGGGCGUCUCGUCCUCAUCGCGAGGUGAGGUGCACCCAGAGCGUACACGUUGGGACCCGAAAGAUGGUGAACUAUGCCUGGCCAGGACGAAGUCAGGGGAAACCCUGAUGGAGGUCCGUAGCGAUUCUGACGUGCAAAUCGAUCGUCGGAGCUGGGUAUAGGGGCGAAAGACUAAUCGAACCAUCUAGUAGCUGGUUCCCUCCGAAGUUUCCCUCAGGAUAGCUGGUGCUCAGACGAGUCUCAUCCGGUAAAGCGAAUGAUUAGAGGCCUUGGGGCCGAAACGACCUCAACCUAUUCUCAAACUUUAAAUGGGUGAGACCUCCGGCUUGCUUAAUGCGCUGAAGCCGCGAGCUUUGAAACUCGGAUCGGAGUGCCAAGUGGGCCACUUUUGGUAAGCAGAACUGGCGCUGUGGGAUGAACCAAACGCCGAGUUAAGGCGCCCGACUCGACGCUCAUGGGAAACCAUGAAAGGCGUUGCUUGCUUAAGACAGCAGGACGGUGGCCCUGGAAGUCGGAAUCCGCUAAGGAGUGUGUAACAACUCACCUGCCGAAGCAACUAGCCCUGAAAAUGGAUGGCGCUGAAGCGUCGGGCCUAUACUCGGCCGUCAGUCCGGCAGUCACGGCCGGUCCUCUCGAGGCCGGCCGCGAAGCCCUGACGAGUAGGAGGGUCGCGGCGGUGGGCGCAGAAGGGUCUGGGCGUGAGCCUGCCUGGAGCCGCCGUCGGUGCAGAUCUUGGUGGUAGUAGCAAAUACUCCAGCGAGGCCCUGGAGGACUGACGCGGAGAAGGGUUUCGUGUGAACAGCCGUUGCACACGAGUCAGUCGAUCCUAAGCCCUAGGAGAAAUCCGAUGUCGAUGGGGGCCACACUCAUACAGUUGGCCGGCCCCCGUUGGGCGAAAGGGAAUCCGGUUCCUAUUCCGGAACCCGGCAGCGGAACCGAUACAAGUCGGGCCCCUCAUCUGAGAAGCUCGUCGGGGUAACCCAAAAGGACCCGGAGACGCCGUCGGGAGAUCGGGGAAGAGUUUUCUUUUCUGCAUGAGCGUUCGAGUUCCCUGGAAU
RNAcentral lists this ribosomal RNA (1774 nucleotides) under Erianthus serratus. RNAcentral's name for it is "eukaryotic LSU rRNA". It matches the Rfam family "Eukaryotic large subunit ribosomal RNA", at positions 363 to 1726 of the family's 3401-position model. Lineage: Eukaryota; Metazoa; Arthropoda; Insecta; Orthoptera; Chorotypidae. The record is from RNAcentral.